UCCAGUUUAUCACCGGCAGUCUCCCUAGAGUGCCCACCAUGACGUGAUGGCAACUAAGGAUAAAGGUUGCGCUCGUUGCGGGACUUAACCCAACACUUCACAGCACGAGCUGACGACAGCCAUGCAGCACCUGUGUAAUUGUCCCUUGCGGGAAAACGCACUUUCAUGCGCUGUCAAAAACAUGUCAAGCCUGGGUAAGGUUCUUCGCGUAGCCUCGAAUUAAACCACAUGCUCCACCGCUUGUGCGGGUCCCCGUCAAUUUCUUUGAGUUUCAGUCUUGCGACCGUACUCCCCAGGUGGUGGAUUUAAUGCGUUAGCGUCGGCGCCGGAGGGAUCGACACCCCCGACACCUAAUCCACAUCGUUUACGGCAAGGACUAC
This 380-nucleotide unclassified non-coding RNA is filed under the name uncultured bacterium. RNAcentral's name for it is "contains 16S-23S intergenic spacer region". The record is from RNAcentral.